GCCGGAUUGGCGGAAUGGUAGACGCGGGGCACUCAAAAUGCCUUGUCUUCGGGCGUGCGGGUUCGAGUCCCGCAUCCGGCA
RNAcentral lists this transfer RNA (81 nucleotides) under Helcobacillus massiliensis. RNAcentral's name for it is "Dermabacter sp. 6401990 tRNA". It matches the Rfam family "tRNA". Rfam says of the family: Transfer RNA (tRNA) molecules are approximately 80 nucleotides in length. Their secondary structure includes four short double-helical elements and three loops (D, anti-codon, and T loops). Further hydrogen bonds mediate the characteristic L-shaped molecular structure. tRNAs have two regions of fundamental functional importance: the anti-codon, which is responsible for specific mRNA codon recognition, and the 3' end, to which the tRNAs corresponding amino acid is attached (by aminoacyl-tRNA synthetases). tRNAs cope with the degeneracy of the genetic code in two manners: having more than one tRNA (with a specific anti-codon) for a particular amino acid; and 'wobble' base-pairing, i.e. permitting non-standard base-pairing at the 3rd anti-codon position. The record is from Rfam by way of RNAcentral. Lineage: Bacteria; Bacillati; Actinomycetota; Actinomycetes; Micrococcales; Dermabacteraceae. RNAcentral also lists the same sequence under 1 other name.